AACGCGAAGAACCUUACCUGGGUUUGACAUCCCGUGAAAAGCGCAGAGAUGUGUAAUAGUAGCAAUACACACGGAGACAGGUGCUGCAUGGCUGUCGUCAGCUCGUGUCGUGAGAUGUUGGGUUAAGUCCCGCAACGAGCGCAACCCUUUCCCUUAUUUGCCACCAUUAAGUUGGGAACUAUAGGGGUACUGCCGAUGAUAAAUCGGAGGAAGGCGGGGAUGACGUCAAGUCCUCAUGGCCCUUACGUCCAGGGCUACACACGUACUACAAUGGCCAAGACAAAGCGAAGCAAGACCGAGAGGUGGAGCCAAACGCAAAAACAUGGUCUCAGUUCGGAUUGUGGUCUGCAAUUCGACCACAUGAAGUUGGAAUCUCUAGUAAUCGCAGAUCAGCAGGCUGCGGUGAAUACGUUCCCGGGCCUUGUACACACCGCUCGUC
This 439-nucleotide ribosomal RNA is filed under the name uncultured bacterium. RNAcentral's name for it is "bacterial SSU rRNA". It matches the Rfam family "Bacterial small subunit ribosomal RNA", at positions 958 to 1398 of the family's 1533-position model. The record is from RNAcentral.